GAUGAACGCUGGCGGCGUGCUUAACACAUGCAAGUCGAGCGAAGCACUUUUGCGGAUUUCUUCGGAUUGAAGCAACUGUGACUGAGCGGGCGACGGGUGAAGUAACGCGUGGGUAACCUGCCUCAUACAGGGGGAUAACAGUUGGAAACGGCUGCUAAUACCGCAUAAGCGCACAGUACCGCAUGGUACCGUGUGAAAAACUCCGGUGGUAUGAGAUGGACCCGCGUCUGAUUAGCUAGUUGGUGGGGUAACGGCCUACCAAGGCGACGAUCGGUAGCCGGACUGAGAGGUUGAACGGCCACAUUGGGACUGAGACACGGCCCAG
RNAcentral lists this ribosomal RNA (325 nucleotides) under uncultured bacterium. RNAcentral's name for it is "bacterial SSU rRNA". It matches the Rfam family "Bacterial small subunit ribosomal RNA", at positions 28 to 334 of the family's 1533-position model. The record is from RNAcentral.